RNAcentral lists this ribosomal RNA (377 nucleotides) under uncultured eukaryote. Its description in RNAcentral is "partial 18S ribosomal RNA". It matches the Rfam family "Eukaryotic small subunit ribosomal RNA", at positions 592 to 976 of the family's 1831-position model. The record is from RNAcentral.
CAAUAGCGUAUAUUAAAGUUGUUGCAGUUAAAAAGCUCGUAGUUGAAUUUCUGUCUAGUACUACCCGAGCGAAUUUUCGUCUUCGUGGUGCAUUCUAGACAUUUCUCCAGGGAACGUUGCUGUGCUUAAUUGCAUGGUGCGGUAACUGGAACUUUUACUUUGAGAAAAUUAGAGUGUUUCAAGCAAGCAUUUGCUCUGAAUACUGCAGCAUGGAAUAAUUUUAUAAGACUUUGGUCUUAUUUUGUUGGUUUCUAAGGCUAAAGUAAUGAUUGAUAGGGACAGUUGGGGGCAUUCGUAUUUAACUGUCAGAGGUGAAAUUCUUGGAUUUGUUAAAGACGAACUACUGCGAAAGCAUUUGCCAGGGAUGUUUUCAUUAA